CAUUGCCUUAGUAACGGCGUGAAGCGGCAACAGAAAUUUGAAAUCUGGCUCCCGGGGUCCGAGUUGUAAUUUGUAGAGAGUGCGGGGGAGACCGCGGUCUAAGUCCAUUGGAACAUGGUGUCAGAGAGGGUGAGAAUCCCGUAUGUGAUCGUGGAUCGACCCCAUGUGAAGCCUCUUCGACGAGUCGAGUUGUUUGGGAAUGCAGCUCAAAAUGGGUGGUAAAUUUCAUCUAAAGCUAAAUAUUGGCUGGAGACCGAUAGCGCACAAGUAGAGUGAUCGAAAGAUGAAAAGCACUUUGGAAAGAGAGUUAAACAGUACGUGAAAUUGUUGAAAGGGAAGCGCUUGCAACCAGACCUGCCCGUCGGCGAUCAGCCGCUGUUCUCAGCGGUGCACUCGCUCUGCGAUCAGGCCAGCAUCGGUUUCGGCGGUCGGAUAAAGGCCUUGGGAAUGUAGCUUCCCUUCGGGGGAGUCUUAUAGCCCUCGGU
RNAcentral lists this ribosomal RNA (485 nucleotides) under Parmotrema praesorediosum. RNAcentral's name for it is "partial 28S ribosomal RNA". It matches the Rfam family "Eukaryotic large subunit ribosomal RNA", at positions 73 to 571 of the family's 3401-position model. The record is from RNAcentral. Lineage: Eukaryota; Fungi; Ascomycota; Lecanoromycetes; Lecanorales; Parmeliaceae.